AAGCUCGUAGUUGAAUUUCGGGAUUGACGUGACGGUCGUGCCUUACGGGGUAUGAACUGUCGCCGUUGAUUUCUCACCUUCUGGAGAAGCUCGAUGUCCUUAAUUGGGUGUCUUGCGGAACCAGGACCUUUACCUUGAAAAAAUUAGAGUGUUUAAAGCAGGCAUUAUUGCUCGAAUACAUUAGCAUGGAAUAAUAGAAUAGGACGGUCAUGGUUCUAUUUUGUUGGUUUCUAGGAUCACCGUAAUGAUUAAUAGGGAUAGUUGGG
Molecule: ribosomal RNA, 266 nt
Filed under: uncultured Glomus
Lineage: Eukaryota; Fungi; Glomeromycota; Glomeromycetes; Glomerales; Glomeraceae
Description: partial 18S ribosomal RNA
Rfam family: Eukaryotic small subunit ribosomal RNA
Source: RNAcentral